UGCUCCGUAGUGCCGGGCACAGAGCUGUUUUGAAAACAGUCUUUAAAAUGUUCGACUCAUUUGCGGGGUCG
RNAcentral lists this transfer RNA (71 nucleotides) under Dendropoma gregarium. RNAcentral describes it as "tRNA-Ser". Lineage: Eukaryota; Metazoa; Mollusca; Gastropoda; Littorinimorpha; Vermetidae. The record is from RNAcentral.